This 779-nucleotide transfer RNA is filed under the name Bradyrhizobium japonicum. Its description in RNAcentral is "16S-23S ribosomal RNA intergenic spacer". The stretch from base 189 to 262 matches the Rfam family "tRNA". Lineage: Bacteria; Pseudomonadati; Pseudomonadota; Alphaproteobacteria; Hyphomicrobiales; Nitrobacteraceae. The record is from RNAcentral. RNAcentral also lists the same sequence under 3 other names.
CUAAGGAUGGUUCUUCAGAAGCUUGCUUCUAUCGAACCGUUUUAGAAACAUCAGUGGCCAACGGUCGUCAGGAUCGUUGAGCUGCAUUGGCGGGAUUUCGCCGUCUUCGUUUCUCUUUCUUCGCGGACGAACACGCGCUGGGGCUGCAACCUUGCAGAAUCCCUGGUCCUUGACUGGAUAUGCGUUAGGGGCUUGUAGCUCAGUUGGUUAGAGCGCGCGCUUGAUAAGCGUGAGGUCGGAAGUUCAAGUCUUCCCAGGCCCACCACACUCAUCGAGUGAGCAUUCGUCUUCUGGUUACGGGGCCAUAGCUCAGCUGGGAGAGCGCGUGCUUUGCAAGCAUGAGGUCGUCGGUUCGAUCCCGUCUGGCUCCACCAGAUGGUUUGAUCACCGACUACUCAUACCGUCGUCCGCGAAACAUCACUUCGCACUUACUAGUCCGGAUGGACAGUAAGCUGCGUGAUUUCUGACAUCGUAAAGAGGAGAUCGAUCCGAGUUGGAUCGGGCAACAAGUAAUUGUUGCGCGAUACUCCAUUAUCUCCGGAUCAUUUCGGCGCUCGUGCGUCUUUUAGCGUAGCUCACAAGGCUGCAUUGAAAGACAAGCGAGUUGUAAAUGAUCCUUUUAGCGAAGCUUGACCGCCUCGCUAUCGGAACGAUCUUACGAAGCAAGCUGGUCUUUCUAAUCAUUGUCCGGCUGCAGAUAGCGUUCAUCGAGGGCGCGUGCCGCAAGGCAGUUCUGCAGACAACAUUCUGCCGAGUGUGUGGACAUUGAUAAUGAGAGC